GAUGAACGCUAGCGGCAGGCUUAACACAUGCAAGUCGAGGGGUAGUUUACUUCGGUAAAUGAGACCGGCGCACGGGUGCGUAACGCGUAUGCAAUCUACCUUGUACAGGGGGAUAGCCCAGAGAAAUUUGGAUUAAUACCCCAUAGUAUUAUGAUGUGGCAUCACAUUAUUAUUAAAGUUCCAACGGUACAAGAUGAGCAUGCGUCCCAUUAGCUAGUUGGUGUGGUAACGGCAUACCAAGGCAACGAUGGGUAGGGGUCCUGAGAGGGAGAUCCCCCACACUGGUACUGAGACACGGACCAGACUCCUACGGGAGGCAGCAGUGAGGAAUAUUGCGCAAUGGGCGAAAGCCUGACGCAGCCACGCCGCGUGAGUGAUGAAGGCCUUCGGGUCGUAAAACUCUGUCGGGAGGGACGAAGGGGCAACCCUGACGGUACUUCGCAAGAAAGCACCGGCUAACUCUGUGCCAGCAGCCG
Molecule: ribosomal RNA, 476 nt
Filed under: uncultured bacterium
Lineage: Bacteria
Description: bacterial SSU rRNA
Rfam family: Bacterial small subunit ribosomal RNA
Source: RNAcentral